This 253-nucleotide ribosomal RNA is filed under the name uncultured bacterium. RNAcentral's name for it is "partial 16S ribosomal RNA". It matches the Rfam family "Bacterial small subunit ribosomal RNA", at positions 524 to 776 of the family's 1533-position model. The record is from RNAcentral.
UACAGAGGGUGCGAGCGUUGUCCGGAAUCACUGGGCGUAAAGGGCGCGUAGGCGGCCUGAUAAGUAGGGGGUGAAAUCUUGCGGCUCAGCCGCAAGGCUGCCUUCUAAACUGUCAGGCUGGAGCACGGUAGAGGCAGAUGGAAUUCCCGGUGUAGCGGUGGAAUGCGUAGAGAUCGGGAAGAACACCAGUGGCGAAGGCGGUCUGCUGGGCCGUUGCUGACGCUGAGGCGCGACAGCGUGGGGAGCAAACAGG